Molecule: ribosomal RNA, 793 nt
Filed under: Blakea hexandra
Lineage: Eukaryota; Viridiplantae; Streptophyta; Magnoliopsida; Myrtales; Melastomataceae
Also listed under: 1 other name
Description: eukaryotic LSU rRNA
Rfam family: 5.8S ribosomal RNA (bases 363-518)
Source: RNAcentral
CGGUUCGCUGCCGACAACGUCACGAGAAGUCCACUGAACCUUAUCAUUUAGAGGAAGGAGAAGUCGUAACAAGGUUUCCGUAGGUGAACCUGCGGAAGGAUCAUUGUCGAAAUCGAACGGAAGGAUGACCCGCGAAUCGUCGUCGCGUACAGGAGAGAGCUCGUGAGCACCCAACGCUCACGCGGCUCGCGUCGCGUCGGCGCGGGUGCGCUCGAGACCCGCGUCGUACCGGCGUACAAACAACGUCAGCACGGAUCGUGCCAAGGAGCUGCAUGGAGAGAAUCGUCGUCCAGCGCCUUUGAUUGUCCCCGUUGCGGGACACGGGGGCGGGGGAUGUACGCAAUCUCUGCUCAAGUCUAAAUGACUCUCGGCAACGGAUAUCUCGGCUCUUGCAUCGAUGAAGAACGUAGCGAAAUGCGAUACUUGGUGUGAAUUGCAGAAUCCCGCGAACCAUCAAUUCUUUGAACGCAAGUUGCGCCCGAAGCCAUUCGGCCGAGGGCACGCCUGCCUGGGUGUCGUGAAUCCCCCUGCCCCUAGGCACCCGCACGCGCAUUGGCGGGGAAAUGCCCGGGCGCAGAAUAUGGUCUCCCGUGGGUUCGGCAUGCACGGCGUGCCGAGGUGCGGUUGGCCGAAAAUCGAGCAUGGCGGUGACGGGCACCACGGCGUUCGGUGGAUCGAAUGAGAUUGGCUGCGUCGUGGGCUCGGCAUGCGGCGGGCUCCGGACUUUGACCAUCCCCGAGUGCGAUCCCAGGUCAGGCGGGGCUACCCGCUGAGUUUAAGCAUAUCAAUAAGC